GACGAACGCUGGCGGCGUGCCUAAUACAUGCAAGUAGAACGCUGAAGGAGGAGCUUGCUUCUCUGGAUGAGUUGCGAACGGGUGAGUAACGCGUAGGUAACCUGCCUGGUAGCGGGGGAUAACUAUUGGAAACGAUAGCUAAUACCGCAUAACAGUAGAUGUUGCAUGACAUUUGCUUAAAAGGUGCAAUUGCAUCACUACCAGAUGGACCUGCGUUGUAUUAGCUAGUUGGUGGGGUAACGGCUCACCAAGGCGACGAUACAUAGCCGACCUGAGAGGGUGAUCGGCCACACUGGGACUGAGACACGGCCCAGACUCCUACGGGAGGCAGCAGUAGGGAAUCUUCGGCAAUGGACGGAAGUCUGACCGAGCAACGCCGCGUGAGUGAAGAAGGUUUUCGGAUCGUAAAGCCCUGUUGUAAGAGAAGAACGAGUGUGAGAGUGGAAAGUUCACACUGUGACGGUAUCUUACCAGAAAGGGACGGCUAACUACGUGC
This 496-nucleotide ribosomal RNA is filed under the name uncultured Streptococcus sp. Its description in RNAcentral is "bacterial SSU rRNA". It matches the Rfam family "Bacterial small subunit ribosomal RNA", at positions 28 to 508 of the family's 1533-position model. The record is from RNAcentral. Lineage: Bacteria; Bacillati; Bacillota; Bacilli; Lactobacillales; Streptococcaceae.